RNAcentral lists this microRNA precursor (70 nucleotides) under Notamacropus eugenii (tammar wallaby). Its description in RNAcentral is "microRNA 155 (ENSMEUG00000017153.1)". It matches the Rfam family "mir-155 microRNA precursor family". The record is from RNAcentral. Lineage: Eukaryota; Metazoa; Chordata; Mammalia; Diprotodontia; Macropodidae.
UGUUAAUGCUAAUCGUGAUAGGGGUUUGUCUUUUUCACUUCUAACUGACUCCUACAUGUUAGCAUUAACA